UUGUUGCUACAAGCCACCAAGGCAUGGGUAUUGUUACCACAGCACAACCCAGCCUAAGCUUGCUAGGCUGAAAUUGCUGAUUAAAUUCUUAAAUUGCUUCACAUGCCUUGUAUUUCCUCUCCUCCGCAGCAUUUGCUUAUUCAAGGCCGCUUAGUUGAAGCUGGCUGGACUUGGCUUUUAAUCGUGGCUCUACCGUUUUUUAUCUGGGAGACCUUGGUUUUCGUGAGAUUGAAUUAUCUGGAUUAAAGAACCAGACUACAUCUCUUGAAUCUGCCAUAUUCUUUAUGGAACCUGCCUUAUUCUUUAUGGAAUCUGCCAUAUACUUUUCGCAUUCCUAGUGCUUGGCAAAUAGUAAACAUUUAGGCACAGUGAGAAGGUGGCCGUGUGCAACCCUGGAAGAAGGUCCUCACCCAGGAACGGAAUUAGCUGGCACCUGAAUCUUGGACUUCUCA
Hipposideros armiger (great roundleaf bat) is the source of this 452-nucleotide long non-coding RNA. RefSeq lists it as uncharacterized. The record is from RefSeq and is a predicted model, not a curated record. Lineage: Eukaryota; Metazoa; Chordata; Mammalia; Chiroptera; Hipposideridae. The transcript is spliced from 3 exons.